GGAAGAAGAACUGACGGUACUUGAGGAAUAAGCCACGGCUAAUUCCGUGCCAGCAGCCGCGGUAAUACGGGAGUGGCAAGCGUUAUCCGGAAUUAUUGGGCGUAAAGCGUCCGCAGGCGGCCUUUUAAGUCUGUUGUCAAAGCGUGGAGCUUAACUCCAUUUGAGCAAUGGAAACUGGGAGGCUUGAGUGUGGUAGGGGCAGAGGGAAUUCCCGGUGUAGCGGUGAAAUGCGUAGAUAUCGGGAAGAACACCAGUGGCGAAGGCGCUCUGCUGGGCCAUCACUGACGCUCAUGGACGAAAGCCAGGGGAGCGAAAGGGAUUAGAUACCCCUGUAGUC
Molecule: ribosomal RNA, 337 nt
Filed under: uncultured cyanobacterium
Lineage: Bacteria; Bacillati; Cyanobacteriota
Description: bacterial SSU rRNA
Rfam family: Bacterial small subunit ribosomal RNA
Source: RNAcentral